Oryza punctata is the source of this 208-nucleotide non-coding RNA. The record is from Rfam. Lineage: Eukaryota; Viridiplantae; Streptophyta; Magnoliopsida; Poales; Poaceae.
AAUAAGUGCAAUUAUACGCUGUUCAUAUCCAACGUUUAAUCAUCCGUCUUAUUUGAAAUUUAUUUUAUGAUUAUUAUUUUUGUUGUUAUUAGAUGAUAAAACAUGAAUAGUACAUUAUGUGUGAUUAUUUUUUUUAAUUUUUUCGUAAUUUUUUUAAAUAAGACGGACAGUCAAACGUUGGACACGAAAAUCCACGACUGUAUUUAUU